AGUCAAUCACGUAUCCACGCAAACCCUAACCUCUCCAUAACUUCAUCUGUUCUCAAGGUCCGCCGCCUCCCGCUUCCGCCAUCAUUGAUACAAGCACAGUCCAUUUCCUUGCUCCAUUUGUACAUCAAUAAUCACUCUCAAUUAACUAUCCCCACCCACCAUCUCAAAAUUUUUUACAGAUGCCAUGUCCAAUUUUUGGUUUUACUUCCUUGGCUCUCUAAUAGUUUGUAACAGAUUUUAUGGCAAAUGGAAGUAAGAAUUAUGAGGUUCAUUUAUUCUCAGGAAGGAGUCUUGGCCAGUAGUGACAGUCGAGUAUUUAUGCGUAUAGAGUAGUCGUAGAGAUGCCAGACACCACAUGCUUGGUCGCCUCGACUCCAUUUUUGCCAAGGAGCUCUUGAUUGGUCAAAAGUGAUGGUGGUCAGUUGUGACGAAAUAUGCUUUUGUAGUGGACUCGUCCUCCACAAGAUGAAGUACCUACGCUUCCUCCGUAAGAAUGUGAACCCCAAGCCGUCUUAUGACUUGAUCUGCUUCUGGGCUCCUUUCAAGAUUCUCUGGCCACCAUGCACUGGUAUGGAAGUCAACAUUUUCACGAAAUUAUUUAACAAGAUGUAUUUAUCUAUGAAUUUCUAUCUUAAAAAGAAUGCUAGUUGAAAUUUUAUUUAUUUAAUUGCGUUUACAUGUUUAGUUUUUUGAUUGAGGUGUAUUGCUCAUUUGGGUGUUUCUGUUUAUGUGAGGAUUACAAUGCUCGGACUACUGAUAAGACUGGUUAUGUUAUUCCUGUCGAAAUUACAGUAUAUAAAGUGAGUUUUUUCGGUUUUGUAAGUGAAGGGUGUUAGUUUAAUAAAUCUAUUGUAUUGGGUAGGUAGUCUCAGUGUUUGUAACUUUUUUCAGGAUUUGAGUUUCACUUUUAUCUUGAAGACUCCACCUGCUUCAGUCUUGUUGCUGAAAGCCGCAGGUACUCUUGUUUUAUCGUUUUUGGUUCUCUCCAUGUAUGUUAUGAAUUUAUUUUACACUGCUAAUGGUAUUUUUAUCCAAUUUCAUCGCAUUAUACAAAUGCUAAUGGCUUUUUAUUGUAAUUGAAUCAAUGAAUAUCUUCCAGCUUUCAACUUUAUUUGUGUAAAUACGUAUUCCUCAAAGCUCCUGCCCCACCUUUUUUUUGUGUGAUGUAAUAAUCAAUUCAGCCCUUUUUCUGCCUCAAAGCUGCUGCCAAUGCUGUGUUUCUGUUCCUGUAUAUAUAUGUAAUUGAUUUCAACAACAGGCAGCCGUUUCGGGCAGUGCUACGUAAAGAGGGUCUCAUGGCCCUGUUUUCCAGUGCCCCCCUGUUGGCAGGGUGCCGGUGGCCUGGAAAAAACGGGGCCUAUGUGGUCCUAUUUGAGAGGAUUUAUUCCUUUAUUUUUCCUCAACCACCCGAAAUUUUUGACUUGGAAAAGAGACUCCCCAAAAUCAGCCGCCGUUUUUCUUGUGAGUAUAUAUUCUCCGGAGUUUGCUGGAAGAACAGGGGCCCUGACAGGCACCCUGACCGAACCCCACCAAUAGGUGGGGGUCCCUUUUUUUGCGUGGGACCCACCCCCAUGGGUGGGGUUCGGUCAUGGGGCCUGACAGGCCACCUGUUCUUCCAGCAAAAUUCAUUUUCUCCAGCAAACUGCCUGAAAUUCUGCCUGUUUUCUAUUGAAAGAAUGUAUCAAUUCAGCCCCCAAAAAUCUGAUGCCGUUUUCUGUUGUAAUAUAUAAUUUAUUUUAUUUUUUUAUAACUAUGGGUGUCCGGACCAGCUUACAUUUAUCUCGACUAAUUUCACGUGAUCCUAAAGUUUACAGUCGCAUACUCACCUUAGUGACCGGACUUGAAUUAGUGAUCAUUGAGGGAGCAAAUCUAAAUUCUGACCAUUAAACUACCCCUCAAGGUUUUUGUAAUAUAUAAUUACAUUUAGAAAACUUGUAUAUAGCCUAUGACAAAUAAAGAUUUCAUAUUUUACUAGGUAAAUGAAAUAUAACUAAAUAUACUAACAUAAAUCUAAACUAUAUUAAAAAAUACGAACUUCUAAAUAGGAUUCUAAAAUUCAUUUGUAACUGAUAUUAUAUAUGAAUUAUGCUGAUUCCACGUUCCACAUUCAAUGACACUUGCAAAAUAGAUAGGAUUUCAAAUGAAAAUGGGAUGGUAGCCACGUCCAUUUAGAGAAACAAAUCGUACAUCUUCUAGUGAUUCUAUCUAUCAAGAAACGUCUUAUAGGAUUGAGGAUGAGAUUUCCUAUGAGAUAGUAUAUUAAGAUGAAUCAAAAUUAGUCCGUGCUGAUAAACUUAGUCAGUUAUAAGAAUUCUUAAAAUAAGAAAAAAUUAAAAGGGAUCCAGCGUGUAACGUCAAUUCUCGAAUUCGUUAUUCUCAUAAUCAUUCAAAAUACAGAUAGCAAAUGUUACGUGAUAACAAUAGACGAGCAGUGACUUUGGUUGUUUUUAUCCUGAAAUAAUAUUAAACUAUUUCACCCAUGUCGUAAAAACAAGUAUGCAUGACCCAUUCAUAACGACAUGGUAAAUCCAGAAGACAAAAAAUGUUGUGAGCAACGUCCUGAUUAUAAUUUUCACUAAAAUUUCAAAAAUUGAUGUUGCAUGUCUAGGAAACAUUCCAAAAUUAUAUGACAAAAGAAAUACUGGAAUUCUCUCACCCAAAGAGAUAUGAUACAAAAACUUCUACUUGAACUAUGCCAGACUAAAAUAAACAUCAAACAAAUUUUCCAAGUAAGGUUUAAUCAAUAACACCACCCUUCAUCGUCCUGUUGCACCUAACACACGGCAAUAUGAGGUUGAAAUCUAUAUUAUAUGCUUCAAUCAUAUCGGCUGGACCUAAAAGCUCUGUGCCUGCAUUGGCUCAUAAAUGGCUCCGCCCUUGUUUUUCCCCUCCUUUUUAGAAAUCGGAAAAAUUGUCGUUUGCAUAUGAAAUAUAAAGUAUUUCAUACAAUACCAUACAUAUUUUAAAAUUAUAAUUUUCUUGUAGUGACAAUACCAUACAUAUUUUAAAAUUACAAUAUACUAUACAUUUCACAUGAUAUGAACUACCAAGUGCAACUUAGUCCUUAUUUGAUGACCAAGUGCAAUUUAGUCCUUAUUUGAGGACUUCUAAGUGCAAUUUAAAUUUAAUGCUAAUAAUAAAAAGUGUGAUGUGAAUAUAAUUAUCUUAAAUUAUUUCCUUUCUUGGUAGAGUUGAUCACAUUUAAUUGUUAGAUAUUCCCCCAAAUAUCUAGUAACUUAGGAAUAAAACUUGGGCAGAAGUGUUAUCAGAAUUUUUUUUUUUUUUUUUGGGGGUCACCCUGAAAUUUUUAUCUAUCUUGAUUUUGUAUCCAAAAUAUAUAUUUAGUUUAUUUCCCAAGAGGUUUGACUAUUUUAAUUUAGCCUCUGAUUGGCCUCCAUUUUGAUAAUUCUUUUUUUUUUUUUUUAACAAAUUCAUUUUUAAUCACACAUUCUUUCAAUAAUAUAAUUUUAUACAUAUUCCUUCUUUUUCGAGACCGUUUGGACUGCAUGCUCGAUCCCUAUUAGGACAUUUACUUGAUUCCUCCACAUUCAUCUUUGGCAACUUGAAACUUCUUAAGGUAUUGGAAUUUUCAAGCAUGGACUGCAGAUUUUAUAAUUCAACACGAGUAGAGUAUUUGAUUCUCUUAAAGUUCUUGGCAGUCUCUUCUAUACCAUCAUUAAUAGAGAGAUUUGAGAACCUAGAAUUUCUUUUUGUGGAUAAUAGUGAGACUAUUGAAAUAACAUAGAACCUUUUUAUUAUGGUGAAGUUAAGGCAUGUAUUUCAACGGUGGUGCACAAUUCAAUAAAUCUUGGCAUGGGUGAGCAGCUAAGGGAGAGACAUUCCCAGAAAGUAGCCUACAAAGAAUUUAUUUUGUUUCCAUUUAUGAUGAUAAUGAUGAGAAAAUUUUGAGAUACUCACCUACUCUUCAAAGGCUGAAAUGCAAAUUUGCAGUAAUUAUUGAUCUAUUAAAAAACAAUUAUCGCUAUUCUAUCUUGAAUUUCCUUGGUUAGCUGGAAUCCCUCAGCAUAUCUUUUCGUUAGAGUUAUGAUAUGGAUGACUUCUGUUUCGAUUUGACGAGUUUACCCUUGAAUUUGAGAAGGUUGACUCUCAGUGACUUUAAUUUUUCUUUAAAACAAUUGGAGAUAAUUGGAAAACUACUGAGCCCGAGGUUCUCAAGUUAGGGGAUGGUAUCAUUGAGGAAAAUGAAGGUGAAUUCAAAAAACUUAAAUUCUUGGAAUUGGAUGAAGUAGAUAUUGAACAAUGGAAUGCUUGGAACGAUCAUUUUCCUAAACAUGAAAGAUUAUUGUUGCGAAACUGCCAGCUUUUGGAGAUUCCUUUUGACUUAGAGUAUUGUCCGUCUCUACAAAAGAUUGAGUUAUCUAGUAGCAAAAAUCUGUUGAAAACUCUGUUUGGAAGAUUAAAGAAGUGUAAAAUGAUUACAACAAUGAUGUUGAAGUCAUUAUCAACCACUCCUGACAAGAGUUUUCGUUCUGAUUUAUGUAUUUUAGCUUUCAACAAUAUUUUUUUGGAGGUCUCCUCUUAACAUUCAGACUUGGCAUAGUACUCUGUUUUUUACUUCUUGCAUUCUCUGGUGAGAAUGAACAUCAGAGUGCAAGAAAUAAAAACGAAGUAUUAUGCUAUGUUUGAAUGUUGAGAGAAGAGACCUUCAAAAUUUUUUUGUUCAAAGUUAAAAUACGUAAAUCAAAAAGAAAACUCUUGUCAAAAGUGGUAGAUAAUGAUUUCAACAUCAUUGUUGUAAUCAUUUUGUACUUCUUUAAUCUUCCAAGCAGAUUCUUCAACAGAUUUUUUACAACCAUGUACCUCAAAUCUUUUUUAGAGAGACAAUACUCUAAAUCAGAAGGAUUUCCAAAAGCUUGUAGCUUCGCAACACUAACCUUUCAAGUUUGGGAAAAUGAUCGUUCGAGGCAUUCCAUUGCUCUAUUUGUACUUCAUCAAGAUCUAAGAAUUUAAGUUUUUGAAUUCUCCUUCAUUUGCGUCCCAUCUUUUUUUCUCAAUGGUACUAUCACGUAACUUGAGAACCUCGAGUUCAGGUAGUUUUCCAAUUAUUUCCAUUUGUUUCAAACUAAAAUUAAAGUCAAUAAGAGUCAACCUUCUCAAAUUCAAGGGUAAGUUGGUCAAAUCGGGAUUUGGGGUCAUUUAUAGCAUAACUUCGACGGAAAGAUAUGCUGAGAGAUUCCAGCUGACCAAGGAAAUUCAAGAUAUGAUAGCGAUAGUUGUUUUUUGAUGAAUCAAAAAAUACUGCAAAUUUGUAUUUCAGUGUUCGGAGAUUAGGUGAGUAUAUCAAGAUUUUCUUAUCAUUUUCAUCAUAAAUGGAAACAAAAGGAAAUUCUUUGUAGGCUACUUGCUCUAGGCUCUGUGGGAUACAACAAAAUACUGAAGUUACUCGUUCUUGGGUUCCGUCAAGAACCAGCAGGUUGGAACGUCAUCCAAGUUUCACCACAUUACCAGGUGGUCCUGGUCUAUCAGUGUUCCAUCACAUUCAAAGGAAGAGGGUAUUCGUCCGUCAUUUGUAAGCGCUGUGCAAUUCAACACUGAAUCUUCGGGGAAGAUGAACCUGAAGAGGCCUAUUGAAGCUUCAAUAACUGAUCACUGCAACAAAAAAGAAGGUGGUGCUCACAUAAGGGCCAUAGGCAAGUCACAUUACUGUUAGUAAUAUUGAUUACUAAUUUUCAUCACUACAGUAAUAUUUGUUCACACAAUCCCAUCAUAUUUUAUUUUGAAUGUAAGAAACAUCUUUACAUUGUUGAGGCAGUUAUAACUCAAGUCUCUGGUUGAAUAGGAGAUUACAUGCACUGCAACACCUGGUAGUCUGGAGAAGAAAGCCCAUUGAAUAUUUGAUCACUGCGAUGUGAAGGAUAGAUGCUUUGUACGUUGAUAACUCAGGUCGGCCGACUGUGAGAGAUAGAAUCGUGUGCAGCGAUGUAGAGGCUCUCUCUUAUGUUGUUCCUUGUCUUAUGGUGAAGAUAAAUGCAUGGCACCCCAAGACAAUCGACGGCAUUAAAUGGCAAACCACUUGAUCUGAAGAUUGUGACUGACAUACCACAAGAUGAUCAUGGGUCAGUACUUUGUCUAAUCUAUUUCUGUGAUGUUGGAAUAUUUAUCUUAUUGAUUCACGGAAAUGAACUAGGAUAUCUUUUUCUUUCUUUUAUUUUCCCCUAGGUGAGUAAUACUUAGUAACAUACAAAGUUCUUAAUUGGUACAGUGAGGUAGUUAAAUAAAUAAAUUUUAUACAAGAUAUGCAUAACCAUAAAUCUGGGAUGAUGAGUGUCUUGCAUUGAGGGUAAAGUUUGAUAUUUUGCGGAAAAUGAUGAAACAUCAUCCCGAUGCAAACCUGCGUAGAAACGAUGACUACAGAACUCACAACUAGAUUGAACCAAUCCCAAGAAAGCCAAAUAAAUAAGGUUUUGGAUUUGACCCAAAAAAUAUUGAAUCAAGCAACCAACAAUCAAUUGAUAUAUUUACCUCUUGAUUUCAAGAUUUAAGAAUUUCACUUGAAAUUUUUGAACGCCACAAGAAUCACUUUUGAUAAGUUUGGAAAUUGUUCAAUGAAGAAAAAGGAAAUUUUAAGCAAAUUAGCUUCUCGAGUAAUCUCUCAAUAAUUCAUAUGAAAAGUCUUGUUUUACAAUGAGAAUAAUGAGCCUAUUUAUACUAAAUCCUCAAACAAAGUUUAAAACGGAAUAAAACUCUAGAAACCUAGUUUAAAAAGGAAAAUACGUCCAAAAGAUUAUAAAAUAUCAAAUAAAUUGAAUAUCUAACCAAACUAGGAAAUUCGAUUGCCGCUUAUUUCUAUGUGGCUGCGUAGUUGAUUUCUAUGCGGUCGCAUAGAUGUCCCAAAAUUUGCCCAACAGUUUUCUGCAUCCAUAUGUGUGACAGCACACUCCUUGCCACUAUGUGGUCACAUAGUGGUGAUUUCCAACUUCGUCCUGCGGCCAAGUUACUCCUUGUCUUCCGACCAAUCAUGUGACUUGCUGUUUGGCAUGUUAUCAUUAAUCUCUUGGAUCGCAUAUCUCGCACAAGUGAUUGCUUGUCCUUUAUUGACUAAGUAUGCUCGAACUUGCCCUUGAUCUCUCCUCGCCAAAUACCAAGUUCUUGAUAAUUUGCACCCCCAAGGAUCAUAUCACAUUCUGUCUGAUGUGCUUAUGAUGUGGUCAGUGUAUGUUGCAUUCUAUAAAUACUAAUGCGGUGCCUCUUGUCCAUCUCUUUCAAGUAACACGAUCUAUUUUGUUAUUAUUAAGUAAGAUGUAUUGAAUCAGAUUCAACUUCGUUAAUAGAUUCUCCUUCGACUGCUAAAAUAUGUAAGCUGCAAUAACAAUUUAUUUAUCUAAGAGUACAUUUUUUUUAUUGGUUUCAUAAAUCAAGUUUUUGCACCUUUUUAUUUUAUUUUAUUUUAUUUUUUCUAUUAGGUUUUUUAACAAUUUUGUCUAUGAAUUGUUGUAGACAUGAUUGCGGGCUAUAUGUCAUUAAGUUCACCAAGUUCAUUAUCAACCAAAAAUUCAUGAAAUGGCGACAACUUUGAUCUAAAAGCAUCCAAAUGUAACUUGGGUCUGUCAACUACUCUAGCAUGGCUACUAGAAGAUGAUUGAAGCAUAUAAUACGGAUUUUGACCUCAUAUUGCCAUGUGUUAGGUGCAACAGGACGAUGAAGGGUGUUAUUGAUUAAACCUUGCCCAGAAAGUUUGUUUGGUGUUAAUUUUAGUCUGGCAUAGUUCGAGUAGAAGUUUUUGUAUCCUACUCUUUGUAUGAGAGAAUUUCAGUAUUUCUUGACAUAUAAUUUUGGAAUGUUUCCUAGACAUGCAAUAUCAUUUUUCAAAAUUUCAGUGAAAAUUAUAAUCAGGAGGUUGGUCCACAAUUUUUUUUGUGUCUUCUAGAGUUCCCAUGUCGUUAUUGAUGGUUCAUGCAUAUUUGUUUUUACGACAUGGGUGAAAUAAUUCUACAUCUCAGAACAAAAACAACCAAACUCAUUGCCUUGACUAUUGUUAUCAUGUAACAUUUGC
RNAcentral lists this long non-coding RNA (8014 nucleotides) under Olea europaea subsp. europaea. The record is from RNAcentral. Lineage: Eukaryota; Viridiplantae; Streptophyta; Magnoliopsida; Lamiales; Oleaceae.